This 165-nucleotide unclassified non-coding RNA is filed under the name uncultured fungus. RNAcentral describes it as "sequence contains ITS1, 5.8S rRNA gene". Lineage: Eukaryota; Fungi. The record is from RNAcentral.
CCGAGUUUACAAACUCCCAACCCUAUGUGAACCUUACCUAUCGUUGCUUCGGCGGGCUUAGCCCCCGCGCCCUCGCCGGCGCCGGGAAACAGGCGCCCGCCGGAGACCCAAACUCAAUGUUUUUCAUGCAGUAUUAUUCUGAGUGGCAAACGCAAAAAUAAAUCA